RNAcentral lists this long non-coding RNA (374 nucleotides) under Arabidopsis lyrata. Its description in RNAcentral is "long non-coding RNA (ALYR_LNC003102)". Lineage: Eukaryota; Viridiplantae; Streptophyta; Magnoliopsida; Brassicales; Brassicaceae. The record is from RNAcentral.
UUUUUUUGUCAACAACUUUUAAUUAAAAAAUUCAACAGAGUCAUUCCUAAAGAAUGUUGUUUACAUAAGUGAUAUGAUGUGGUUCGGUACGAAUUUUUCGUGCCAACUUAUCCGCUUUUACAUUUGCACUUCGAGAAAUAAGAGAUAAUGAGAAACUUGAAAAUUCUUCCUUGUCGCUCUUAAAAUCUUCCAAAUACACUGAAAAGGCCGGCCAUUCGGUUGGCAAAGACACCAUAUUCACCAGGUCUGAACAGUCUGUAUAAAAAGCUACAUCUUGAUUGUCGGCUCCAAUCAUAUACUUCAUCGCCCAGAGAAAAGCUUCCACUUCUGUAUGUAAUGGAGAAAGACUUCUUCGGAUGUUGGCUGCUCCCAUG